CAUCAAGCCACAGUCGUCGCAUGCCGGCCAACAGAUCUUCGCUGAAUGGUUCCGUGUCUUCCAUCCGCGAUACGACAUCAAAUACCUGAAGUGAUUAAACCAUAGCAUUUGUACAAAUCGCUGGCAGGCAAAAAAAUGUUCCACUUUCGGCCUUUUUAAACGUAAAGCGACUGCUGGUCUACAAACUCUAAAUAAUUCACUUGUAGUGUUACGGCAAACAACAAAGAAUCAAAAUCAUCGUCAGUAGCAGACGACAAUCAGCAGCCAGACGCAAUCGGCCACAUAGGGACGUGUUCCAGAGCAGGACACUUUCGCAUUAGCUUAUGAUUAGCUACUCCGGCGUAUGCGGUUUUCUGGAUCAGGUUCCCGUGUGUCGGGCCCUUAGAUGCUCCUUUGCUUUUAAGAGGGCCCGCCCCGGUCCUAGCUGGCCGGGGCAAUGGCCGGUAUUUAAGAGCGGGGCACGGGGCGAUGCCGCCGCCUGCCACCAAGAGCGGGAAUCUCAGUUUUUAACCAUAAGUGAAAGUACCAGGAAAGGCACAGCAGUUAGCAGUUAACCGCUCAGCUAGGCCUAAUUAAAUGACCGAGCUUUCAACUUUCUACCCACUUACCGGAUAGCACGAAGAUCCGGCAAGAUUCCAAGAUGGCAAGACUCAGGAGCUCGGAGGAGUCGUAUUAGGUCGUCAAGAUAAGCACAUAAAAAUAUGUGUCCAAUGCUAUGGGUGUUGAGACGGAAGAUGGCUUUUGUGCCGCUGCAACGACAGUACCGUAUCACUCCGAACUGCCUCACCGGGUCGCGUUACUUUCCAGCAUCUUAUGAAGUCGUCAAACGUGGUUAUUGUUUUGUGGAUCUUGGUCCGACGGUGCGAUGACUGCCAGGCAGAACAUGAGGACAGAAGAACGGUGAAGCCUCUGGUCAACUAACAAAACGUUGCCAACUAACCACUGCUAGGUCUUUGGAUGACUACCGGUGGCCAUGCGGCUGCUAAGAGCUUAGUAUUGUGUGGAAGUCAGCACUUUUACUACAGUUUCCACUGUUGCUCAAGAAGCCGGUUAUUUAGUCACCGAGCAGCGUGGAUCAUGAGCGUUGAGAACUGUGGGGCAAAGCAAGCUAUGGAAACUGUUGCACGAAAAAAAAACUAUUGGCCGGGCUUGUUAGAGUAAAUGUCGAUGACCUAAGUCGUCCAGAACAUACAUGACCUAUUCCACUUGCAGCAAUAAUAGCAAAGACAGCAUGACAGCAGGCGCAUGGUACUGGACACAACCAGCGACAACGCAGGCCAGCUCGUAGGACACAAAUCUAAAUAACUGUGUAAGACCCUAACUCUCGUCGUGGCGAUAUUAACAUAAACCUUUGCUGUCCCCAAACUGCAAUGCAAGGGUGGUUUAGGUACCCUGAAGCCUGCUUGGAUUCGAUAAAGCUCUUCCUAUUAUCCAGCCGCUUGAUAUCCCCCUCCGAGAUUUCCAACGAUGUGAGAAGUAAUACAAUGUACGACCAAAUCUUCGCUGUCAGAACGUUCAUCGUGAAGAUAAACGGCAUCGGAUCUCUAGGUGAGCCUCUGGGUUACAGUUUUGUUCGGGGUAUGUUGGGCAGAGGGUGAUAACUGGUUAUAAAGGAAGUGUACAGAAAAGGAAUUGCCACAGAGCAAGAAGCAGUGCAGGCAAAAAUCUUCCUUAGGGGGCGCGGAUCACCUUAGAACGACAGUGAGUUUGUCGUAGGUGAGGCAAAUAAACGUCUACAGUCAUCUAAAGUCGCAGAAAAUUCGAAGUCCUUAGUCCUCAAUCCCUCUCCGUUGUCUUGCGUGGAUUUCUUAGGUUCGUCUGUUUAGAUAUGUGGCCUCGCCUGGUUGCCCUAUCAACCGGUGAAUCCACCAACCUCAGUCAACCGGUCGGACUUUUCCCCUUCGACCUGGUAACUACUUGCGAUGCCUGCCCCACCGCCACCACUGGCAUAAUCCCGGCGACGCCAAUAACUUAGCGGAUCAAGCUACCGCUUCGUCCGUCCCUCAGGUAGGAGCCAUGUAGUCUGCCAUCGUUCUGCGCCCGCCUAACAACAUCAUGUCAACUUGUCAGCGAGCUCGUACCACAUUUUGAUUUCAGAUGACCACCUGCUGUCCCCCUGGAUCCCAUUCUGAUGCAGGGACAAAUACCACAGCAAGAUAAGUCAAGAUAGAGCAAUAUGCCUACGUGCCUACAGAUGAUUAUGGACAGAACAUCAAAGAAAGCUUCUCUCGUUGUUGUCAUUGUCAUACAGCAGGUACGGGCAUUGCUAGACAUAAACUAGGAAUGGGGGUAUAUUCUGCCAAUCGCGCUGCCGCCACCGAUUUACCAGCAUCGCCAAUAGCCUCUUUGGAGAACAGAUUUCCGUUAUGGGUAAAUCAAAAAUGGGGAACGCAGGCGUUUUGCUGUGCUCUCUAUUCGUGUAUUGAAUAGAACGUGGGACAAGUAGCACAUAGAACAAGAUAUCUCUAUAGCGCGAUGCUGUUUCCAUGUGAAGGAAUAAACGGACAAUAUGGGGCGAAUGGGCGGAAAGGUAUCAGGAAAGAGCAAGAAUGCGAGAUAGUCUAACAGUACAGAAAAGUAUAACCAAAUAUAAUGCAUGGGAAAUCAAUGGAGACGGUAAACGGCAGACGUAUAGCAGACAAACAAUUACGCCAGGAGCAUUCGAUUCACCGGCCUUAACGCAGUAGCAGCGACAUCACAAGCAAUAGCUGCUAAGCAAUAUGCACACAUAGAUAUCUCAGCGUAUAUAUGUAUCUGCUAAAAAUAUACAAACCAUUGAUCGUGCGAGCCAAAAGUAGGAUGCAGCCAUCAAUGAAGAAACAAACUGAACGAUGACGAGUUACCUACGCGGGUGUCGCUUCUGCUGCCACAAUGAACUGGGCUGAACUACGACCUCUUGAGUAAGACGCCUGUGGGGUUAGCAUUAGAACUAGACAAGAAGAACAAUGGACUAUUCUUUUGAAACCGCCUGACGACCCACAGAGAACGCUUGAACGCUGAAUACUGCUUCAGUUAGACGUUGAAUGCUUAAUGUACCACAGCGCUUUCGAACAACGCAUACACACAACUUGUAAACAUUUUGGGGUGCAUUUGCCAGCGAGCUGGCGCAACAGAACUUUUGUGUAACAAAAUGACUGAGCAUGUGUAUGUGUCAUGCCAUAAUAAUCGUAACUAACAGGCUACCGCCUAUAGGUCUACUAUCAGCAAUCAGGUAUGGCAUGAAUGCCUACGAACACGUAUGCCCCAUGGUGGUUCACAAUCGUUUAGCUGAAUAUGAACGAAACCAGCAAAAGUGUGUUGAAGCUAACAUUGCCAAAACAAUGUUGUUGCUGCUGCUGCUGCUGCUGCUGCCAUAGUAUCUGCUGGGAGUAGCGACUCCUACGGCUCUGAAGCGUCACUACAAACGCCUAUGAAUAUCUAUCGCAACAGAGCGCUGCGAGAACGCGUUACCGGAUUUCGGCACAAGGCACCGGACGGGCUAGAAAACGGCGGUCAAACGAAGCGUAUUUGCCUCAACGUACAACAGGUGUAUGGACCCAUCGUCAAAGUCUAUAAUUCCGUUCUAUUGCUGAGUCGCUGCGGCAGCUUUAAUGCUUGUCAGGUCGGCUAAGUUUAGCAUGGACAGCGUGUUACUACUAUGGACGUAAUGGUAAUACACUAAUGACGAGAUACACUUUUUGCUGUUCUUCCUGAUAUUUGUAUACAUGAGUGAUGCCAUUGCUAGCAACCCGACACGAAGCAACCUUAGAGAUCGCGCUGCUUGGCCGCCGAAUCAAUAAAUAGGUCGCAUGCUGCUAGCAUUGCUUGGCUCGGAUGGCGGAGGGUAGCCCCUUUCAGCAGAACCACAAAACAAGCAAUGUAACUAUUACCGAAUUCGAAUCGGACCACCUCACCUCACCAGGAGCUGUUAGGUUUUAAUACAAGCGAACAAGUUACCCUUGCAUCUUCAGGGGGACUUCACCUCCAUAUGAACAAAUCGUGAAUCGCUGCUAUUAAGAAGAAGG
Molecule: long non-coding RNA, 4004 nt
Organism: Varroa destructor (honeybee mite)
Lineage: Eukaryota; Metazoa; Arthropoda; Arachnida; Mesostigmata; Varroidae
Source: RefSeq, a predicted model, not a curated record